RNAcentral lists this transfer RNA (72 nucleotides) under Loxodonta africana (African savanna elephant). It matches the Rfam family "tRNA". Rfam says of the family: Transfer RNA (tRNA) molecules are approximately 80 nucleotides in length. Their secondary structure includes four short double-helical elements and three loops (D, anti-codon, and T loops). Lineage: Eukaryota; Metazoa; Chordata; Mammalia; Proboscidea; Elephantidae. The record is from Rfam by way of RNAcentral.
AGGGGUGUAGCUCAGUGGGAGAGUGCACACUUUGUAUAUAUGAGGUCCAGGGUUUGAUCUCUGGCACCUCCA